UACGGGGGGGGCAAGCGUUGUUCGGAAUUACUGGGCGUAAAGGGCUCGUAGGUGGCCAACUACGUCAGACGUGAAAUCCCUCAGCUUAACUGGGGAACUGCGUCUGAUACUGGAUGGCUUGAGUUUGGGAGAGGGAUGCGGAAUUCCAGGUGUAGCGGUGAAAUGCGUAGAUAUCUGGAGGAACACCGGUGGCGAAGGCGGCAUCCUGGACCAAUACUGACACUGAGGAGCGAAAGCCAGGGGAGCAAACGGG
Molecule: ribosomal RNA, 253 nt
Filed under: uncultured bacterium
Lineage: Bacteria
Description: partial 16S ribosomal RNA
Rfam family: Bacterial small subunit ribosomal RNA
Source: RNAcentral